GAUGAACGCUGACAGAAUGCUUAACACAUGCAAGUCAACUUGAACUUCGGUUUGGGUGGCGGACGGGUGAGUAACGCGUAAAGAACUUGCCUCACAGCUAGGGACAACAUUUGGAAACGAAUGCUAAUACCUGAUAUUAUGAUUAUAUGGCAUCGUAUAAUUAUGAAAGCUAUAUGCGCUGUGAGAGAGCUUUGCGUCCCAUUAGCUAGUUGGAGAGGUAACAGCUCACCAAGGCGAUGAUGGGUAGCCGGCCUGAGAGGGUGAUCGGCCACAAGGGGACUGAGACACGGCCCUUACUCCUACGGGAGGCAGAAGUGGGGAAUAUUGGACAAUGGACCGAGAGGCUGAUCCAGCAAUUCUGUGUGCACGAUGAAGUUUUUCGGAAUGUAAAGUGCUUUCAGUUGGGAAGAAAAAAAUGACGGUACCAACAGAAGAAGUGACGGCUAAAUACGU
This 453-nucleotide ribosomal RNA is filed under the name uncultured bacterium. RNAcentral describes it as "partial 16S ribosomal RNA". It matches the Rfam family "Bacterial small subunit ribosomal RNA", at positions 28 to 506 of the family's 1533-position model. The record is from RNAcentral.